UCGAAAUUUAAUCAAACUCAGUGUCAAAAUCUAAUUUAAAUCAUUUCGGCUACAAUUGGCUUUAAAUUGCAUAAAUAAGGCCUGGCCCAUGUCCAGCAUAACACAUGGAAGUGUGCACUUGAGGCAGCAGUGACAGCAACGUGAUGGAAGUUAUUAAUGCCCCAUUACCCCAGUGAACGCCAGUGUGGUUCCAAUUCCCAAUUGUAUGCAGCUAGAACUGCCCCAAUUCGACGAUCGAUUGGGCUUCAAUUACCCAAAUUAUCCAAAAUAUUUAAUGCAACUUGGCACUCGCGUCAGCAGGAGCAGGAGCACAUACCUGUGGCAGAAAGCAGAAGGCAAACCCAAACCAAACACACUCUUUGCCAGCAACAACAUGCAAAUGGAUGUGUAGGAGCAGCAGGCAGAUACCAGCCACAAGGCAGGUUCAAUUGGUUAGUGUGUGUUUGUGUUUGUGUGUGUUUAGAAGGUGUUGGCCAAGGCCACUGUUGUGCAGAGCAACUGACCAGGCUUCUUGCAUGUAAUUGACAUUGGCCCCUUGCGUUUGAUUAAUUGCUGAGGGCCGGGGGUCAGCCUUCCAGGCCAUUGACUCGGAAUGCUUCGAAUGUGCCCAUAGAUCUGUAUCUCCGAAUGUAUCUGCCUCUGCAUCUGUGUUCGUAUCUGUUUCUGAGCCUGUAUCAAUUUGUAUCUUUGUGCUCUUUGUGGGGCAAUAAAUUGGACAUGUUCGACAUGCUUUCCAAUUACUUGCGCUGGCAUUAAACAAAUGCAAUUCACUUGACACACGUCGAAAGUUGGGCAGCCGCUUCCUUGCAACUGCUGCCAUGCAGGACGAGCUGCCAAGGAGCCAAAGAGCGAAGAAGCACUUGUCCCUGCAUUUGGUUUAUGCAACUGUCGCCUGCAAGCGAUGGAAAAACUCAAAGAGAAAGCAGGCGGCGGGAGGCGGGUCCUGCCGCUUCAAUGAACCUCAAUGGGCGCCUGUGCUAUCCAAGAAACAUAAUUCAAGAAUGCAAAGGACCAGGAAUCGAGCGAAAAGCGCAAGCAAAGGACAUCCACAUCUUGCCACAGGCUAUCUCUGCCUCGGCCUCACCAUCUUCAGAGGCAUAAUUUAAAUGCUCCACAAGCGUAGAGUUUCCCAUGCAUAGUUUAUGAUUCCGGUUCCUGCAUCCCGGCUCCCGGCUCCCGGCUCCCGUCUCUCUCAACUCGUACUAUCUAUGCAUUUCUAUGAAUUAAACCAACUGCACAGAAUGUCGCAGAUAAUUCAAUGCACCUACACAGCGCAUUUUUAUGGCUCUCAUUCAACCAUUCAGCCAACCAUUCAGGCCCCACAACCACAACCCAUCCUCGGCAUCAGUUCUCGACUCCUUGGCAGUCGAAAAGUGCCACGAGGGUAAUUUAAAAAUCCAUUUGUGUUUUGAGAUUUUGUUGGCAGCGUCCACGGCUGACUCCGGGCCACGGAGAGGGCGAACGGGCCAACAAUUGCUGUGCCAACCGCCGGAAUAAAAACGACAGGGAGUGGAGAGUGGAGCGUGGAGCUGGGAAAAUGGGAAAUGGGAAAUGCGAACGUCGAGCGUCGAACGUCGCAUGCCUGACUAGAUGACGGCGCGACCUGACUGGGUGACACAAUUUCAAUUUGCAUUGACAGCAUGAAUUAUAGCAAAUAAUCCCCGAAGGAAAAUGCGAUUUUAGCGAUGCCCGCAGGCUACCAGCUCGCAGCCUCCUGCUGCCAGCUUCAAUCGCCCAUCUGCAGCUUUUCGUCCUUCUGUCAAUCGUUUUGGCACUGACCCGCGUGGACAUUCCGCUGUUAUUGAUAUGGAAAUAAUGCUCCACGCAGGAUGGUGGGAAAAAGACCAGGCAAGACUUGCAUAAAAUGAAGUAAAAUGGAAUUCACGAACAAAAAUAAAACAGCGACCAUAAAAGGAAAUAAAAUUUAAAUUUCAUGCGGCGGCAGAACAGUUAAUUUUGCCAAGCAGGACAGAUAGGAAGACGGAGACGGAGACGGAGACAGAGAAAAAUAAAUAUAAAGAGUAGGAGAGGAAGAGGCAGAGGGUGAAUGGAUACCCAAUUGCUUGUGGAAAAGGCUAAUGAGGAUAGAACAUAAAAUCGAAAAGUGAGUGGGUACAUUGAUAACUAAAAAUGUUUGCAAUUUCAUUUCAAUUUAUGUUGAAAGGUCACAGGUCAUUUGCUAAAAGUAAUUGGAGGAAAUAGGAAACUAAUUUAAGUAGAAAAUGC
Molecule: long non-coding RNA, 2226 nt
Filed under: Drosophila guanche
Lineage: Eukaryota; Metazoa; Arthropoda; Insecta; Diptera; Drosophilidae
Source: RNAcentral